CGUAGGUGCAAGCGUUGUCCGGAAUUAUUGGGCGUAAAGAGCUCGUAGGCGGUUUGUCGCGUCGAAUGUGAAAACCCGGGGCUCAACUCCGGGCCUGCAUUCGAUACGGGCAGACUAGAGUUCGGUAGGGGAGACUGGAAUUCCUGGUGUAGCGGUGAAAUGCGCAGAUAUCAGGAGGAACACCGGUGGCGAAGGCGGGUCUCUGGGCCGAUACUGACGCUGAGGAGCGAAAGCGUGGGGAGAGAACAGGAUU
This 253-nucleotide ribosomal RNA is filed under the name uncultured bacterium. Its description in RNAcentral is "partial 16S ribosomal RNA". It matches the Rfam family "Bacterial small subunit ribosomal RNA", at positions 526 to 779 of the family's 1533-position model. The record is from RNAcentral.